RNAcentral lists this ribosomal RNA (253 nucleotides) under uncultured bacterium. Its description in RNAcentral is "partial 16S ribosomal RNA". It matches the Rfam family "Bacterial small subunit ribosomal RNA", at positions 524 to 776 of the family's 1533-position model. The record is from RNAcentral.
UACGGAGGGUGCAAGCGUUAUCCGGAUUUACUGGGCUUAAAGGGUGCGUAGGUGGCUCUGUAAGUCAGUGGUGAAAUCUCCGGGCUUAACCCGGAAACUGCCAUUGAUACUAUAGAUCUUGAAUACCCUGGAGGUGAGCGGAAUAUGUCAUGUAGCGGUGAAAUGCUUAGAUAUGACAUAGAACACCAAUUGCGAAGGCAGCUCACUACGGGAUUAUUGACACUGAGGCACGAAAGCGUGGGGAUCAAACAGG